UGGGUUAGGUUAACCUUACACUGUAGUUUCGAACGUAAAAGACUUGCUCUAUUUUGUCGAGAAAGAUGGAAAAUUUUGGUCUUCGAAGCACUCUCUGGAAGAAAUGGAAUCAUGCUUAUCAAUUUGCUGUCGGCUUUUCCAGCUCUAGUCGUAGCCAUUCUCUCUUGUGAACCUGCGUCCACGAUGCAAUUAUUUAUUUGUUAACAUUUUGCUUUUGUUUCUUGCCGGGAUAGUGCAUAGUUCUUUUCUUUUCUUUUCUUUUUUUGGUGUUUGGGGACCGAAUGUGUCCUAUUGUACUCUCGGUUUUUCUUGGCCGAAGUUCGAAGAUUAAUUUGUGGCUGUCGAAUGGCUAUCUGUACAUUGCCGUUGGAUAGGAAUAUCUGAAGUUACUCUAGAAAUUGGUGCCAGCAGCGGAUGCUUUUCAUCAGCAAUGUCCAAGUUCGUCUUCUUUUCGGGUUAAACUGGUCUCUGUGCUCCUCAGUAAUUCCAUAACAGUGAUGCAUUUUCAGUCUUGACCGAAGAGAAAAACAUGUUAUGGGUUGUGGAUAUGGCAUGCUCUAACUAUUUCUUCUCUGUUAGUACAGGGUUCGCCUUCUGGUCUUUUAUAUGCUUCAAUCAGGAAUGGAUAUGAUGGUCGAGAUGCCGAAGCUCGGGAUUGUUACGCAUUUAUUGAGAGAAUGUUUUUUUAAAGGUUGUGCGAUUGGUUUGUCGAGUAUGAAAGCUUUCGUUGGUCUUUUCUUUUUGGCAAUUUGAACAUGUAAUACGAGGACAUUCUCGUAUCCCAGAACCCUACUCUUCACUCUUCUAGUUUACGAUAGAUCACCAAAUCGAUGAGUGGAUUUGGAUUAGGCCCAAUAUGGUCAAAAAAUAUCUCGAUUUUCUGCCGAAUGAUGGAAUUCGAGAAAUGAGAGUUCAUGUAAGUGUGAAGGGACUAUUUGGCCAUGUGAAGUGUAAGUUGCUCCGACGAUGGAGUGGAGCUUCUACUUUUAUAAGAUAUUGCUUGUCGCGUUCGGUCCAUAAUCGAUUAAAUGGUUCGGAGCGUUCGUGCAAGAAGGGAGAGGAG
This 1063-nucleotide long non-coding RNA is filed under the name Eucalyptus grandis. Its description in RNAcentral is "long non-coding RNA (EGRA_LNC006491)". The record is from RNAcentral. Lineage: Eukaryota; Viridiplantae; Streptophyta; Magnoliopsida; Myrtales; Myrtaceae.